RNAcentral lists this long non-coding RNA (568 nucleotides) under Erythranthe guttata (spotted monkey flower). Its description in RNAcentral is "long non-coding RNA (EGUT_LNC001357)". Lineage: Eukaryota; Viridiplantae; Streptophyta; Magnoliopsida; Lamiales; Phrymaceae. The record is from RNAcentral.
CACACAAAACCGAUAAAUCAAAUCAUUCAAUCAGCACUCAGAAAAUCAAGUCACUUACUGACAUACAUACACAUCACCAACAUAUACUCCCCACAUAACUCAUACAUGACUACAUGUUACUAUAUGUUACUAUAAUACAAAUCAUAAAUCAUACACACACUAUCACUUACUGACAUACAUACACAUCACCAACAUAUACUCCCCACAUAACUCAUACAUGACUACAUGUUACUAUAUGUUACUAUAUAAUAUGAAUCAUAAAUUAUAAAUUUCAAGAGGUAAAUCAUAAAAUUGGACCUAAAAGAUUCACCAAGCAUACAAAAUUUCAUUUAAUUACGACACGCAUGUCAUUCAAAUGGCAGAAAAAAAAUCCAAAUUAGAAUAUUAUGUAAUAAACUAAAAAAUGCACACACACACACACAAACAAAGAACUCGAUCAAACACGAAACUGAAUAAAAAUUCUAGCCAAUUGAAACAAAAUAUUAGUUGAGCCGAAAAAUUAGAGUCGAAUUAAAAUCGAGAAAAAAUGACUAUAGCGUACUACAAGUCCAUAUGUUACUAAAUGUGA